CCUACGGGUGGCAGCAGUCGAGAAUCAUUCACAAUGGGGGAAACCCUGAUGGUGCGACGCCGCGUGGGGGAUUGAAGGUCUUCGGAUUGUAAACCCCUGUCAUGUGGGAGCAAAUUAAAAAGAUAGUACCACAAGAGGAAGAGACGGCUAACUCUGUGCCAGCAGCCGCGGUAAUACAGAGGUCUCAAGCGUUGUUCGGAAUCACUGGGCGUAAGGCGUGCGUAGGCUGUUUCGUAAGUCGUGUGUGAAAGGCGCGGGCUCAACCCGCGGACGGCACAUGAUACUGCGAGACUAGAGUAAUGGAGGGGGAAGCGGAAUUCUUGGUGUAGCAGUGAAAUGCGUAGAUAUCGAGAGGAACACUCGUGGCGAAGGCGGGUUCCUGGACAUUAACUGACGCUGAGGCACGAAGGCCAGGGGAGCGAAAGGGAUUAGAUACCCGUGUAGUC
RNAcentral lists this ribosomal RNA (446 nucleotides) under uncultured bacterium. Its description in RNAcentral is "partial 16S ribosomal RNA". It matches the Rfam family "Bacterial small subunit ribosomal RNA", at positions 338 to 795 of the family's 1533-position model. The record is from RNAcentral.